UACGAAGGGGGCUAGCGUUGUUCGGAAUUACUGGGCGUAAAGCGCACGUAGGCGGACUCGUAAGUUGGGGGUGGAAUCCCGGGGCUCAACCCCGGAAUUGCCUUCAAGACUGCAAGUCUGGAGGUCAGGAGAGGCGAGCGGAAUUCCGAGUGUAGAGGUGAAAUUCGUAGAUAUGCGGAGGAACACCAGUGGCGAAGGCGGCUCGCUGGACUGAUACUGACGCUGAGGUGCGAAAGCGUGGGGAGCAAACAGG
RNAcentral lists this ribosomal RNA (253 nucleotides) under uncultured bacterium. RNAcentral describes it as "partial 16S ribosomal RNA". It matches the Rfam family "Bacterial small subunit ribosomal RNA", at positions 524 to 776 of the family's 1533-position model. The record is from RNAcentral.